GGUGGCUCAGUGGUAGAGUGUUUGCCUAGUAUGCAUAAGGCCCUGGGUUCGAAUACUUAGCACCA
This 65-nucleotide transfer RNA is filed under the name Dipodomys ordii (Ord's kangaroo rat). It matches the Rfam family "tRNA". From Rfam's summary of the family: Transfer RNA (tRNA) molecules are approximately 80 nucleotides in length. Their secondary structure includes four short double-helical elements and three loops (D, anti-codon, and T loops). The record is from Rfam by way of RNAcentral. Lineage: Eukaryota; Metazoa; Chordata; Mammalia; Rodentia; Heteromyidae.